UGACCUCGGAUCAGGUAGGGAUACCCGC
Molecule: non-coding RNA, 28 nt
Filed under: Drosophila melanogaster (fruit fly)
Lineage: Eukaryota; Metazoa; Arthropoda; Insecta; Diptera; Drosophilidae
Also listed under: 5 other names
Source: RNAcentral